This 253-nucleotide ribosomal RNA is filed under the name uncultured bacterium. RNAcentral describes it as "partial 16S ribosomal RNA". It matches the Rfam family "Bacterial small subunit ribosomal RNA", at positions 524 to 776 of the family's 1533-position model. The record is from RNAcentral.
UACGUAGGGGGCUAGCGUUGUCCGGAAUCAUUGGGCGUAAAGCGCGUGUAGGCGGUUCGGUAAGUCCGCUGUGAAAGUCGGGGGCUCAACCCUCGAAUGCCGGUGGAUACUGUCGGGCUAGAGUACGGAAGAGGCGAGUGGAAUUCCUGGUGUAGCGGUGAAAUGCGCAGAUAUCAGGAGGAACACCUAUUGCGAAGGCAGCUCGCUGGGACGUAACUGACGCUGAGACGCGAAAGCGUGGGGAGCAAACAGG